Molecule: microRNA precursor, 52 nt
Filed under: Ovis aries (sheep)
Lineage: Eukaryota; Metazoa; Chordata; Mammalia; Artiodactyla; Bovidae
Description: mir-1302 microRNA precursor family
Rfam family: mir-1302 microRNA precursor family
Source: Rfam by way of RNAcentral
UUUUUAGCGUAAGUAUAUCCCAUGCAAUAUUUGGAACAUACUUAUACUAAAG